UAGGGAAUAUUGGACAAUGGGCGAAAGCCUGAUCCAGCAACGCCGCGUGCGCGAUGACGGCCUUCGGGUUGUAAAGCGCUUUUAGGAGAGAUGAGAAAGGACAGUAUCUCCAGAAUAAGCCUCGGCGAACUACGUGCCAGCAGCCGCGGUAAAACGUAGGAGGCGAGCGUUAUCCGGAUUUAUUGGGCGUAAAGCGUGUGCAGGCGGUCUAGCAAGUUGGAUGUGAAAGCUCCCGGCUUAACUGGGAGAGGUCGUUCAAAACUGCUAGACUAGAGAAUGGAAGAGGGAGGUGGAAUUCCGGGUGUAGUGGUGAAAUGCGUAGAUAUCCGGAGGAACACCAGUGGCGAAAGCGGCCUCCUAGGCCAUUUCUGACGCUAAGACACGAAAGCUAGGGUAGCAAACGG
RNAcentral lists this ribosomal RNA (404 nucleotides) under uncultured bacterium. Its description in RNAcentral is "bacterial SSU rRNA". It matches the Rfam family "Bacterial small subunit ribosomal RNA", at positions 355 to 775 of the family's 1533-position model. The record is from RNAcentral.